This 440-nucleotide ribosomal RNA is filed under the name uncultured bacterium. RNAcentral describes it as "partial 16S ribosomal RNA". It matches the Rfam family "Bacterial small subunit ribosomal RNA", at positions 338 to 795 of the family's 1533-position model. The record is from RNAcentral.
CCUACGGGAGGCAGCAGUGGGGAAUAUUGCACAAUGGGGGAAACCCUGAUGCAGCGACGCCGCGUGAGUGAAGAAGUAUUUCGGUACGUAAAGCUCUAUCAGCAGGGAAGAAAAUGACGGUACCUGACUAAGAAGCCCCGGCUAACUACGUGCCAGCAGCCGCGGUAAUACGUAGGGGGCAAGCGUUAUCCGGAUUUACUGGAUGUAAAGGGAGCGUAGACGGCAGCGCAAGUCUGGAGUGAAAUCCCAUGGCUUAACCAUGGAACUGCUUUGGAAAAUGUGCAGCUAGAGUGCAGGAGAGGUAAGCGGAAUUCCUAGUGUAGCGGUGAAAUGCGUAGAUAUUAGGAGGAACACCAGUGGCGAAGGCGGCUUACUGGACUGUAACUGACGUUGAGGCUCGAAAGCGUGGGGAGCAAACAGGAUUAGAUACCCUGGUAGUC